GAUGAAGAACGUAGCGAAAUGCGAUACGUAAUGUGAAUUGCAGAAUUCAGUAAAUCAUCGAGUCUUUGAACGCACAUUGCGCCCCCUGGUAUUCCGGGGGGCAUGCCUGUCCGAGCGUCAUUGCUGCCCUCAAGCACGGCUUGUGUGUUGGGCCUCCGUCCUCCUCCCGGGGGACGGGCCCGAAAGGCAGCGGCGGCACCGCGUCCGGUCCUCGAGCGUAUGGGGCUUCGUCACCCGCUCUUGUAGGCCCGGCCGGCGCUUGCCGACACAUCAAUCUUUUUUCCAGGUUGACCUCGGAUCAGGUAGGGAUACCCGCUGAACUUAAGCAUAUCAAUAAGCGGAGGA
Molecule: unclassified non-coding RNA, 345 nt
Filed under: soil metagenome
Description: partial contains 5.8S ribosomal RNA, internal transcribed spacer 2, and large subunit ribosomal RNA
Rfam family: 5.8S ribosomal RNA (bases 1-120)
Source: RNAcentral